RNAcentral lists this ribosomal RNA (511 nucleotides) under Pelophylax ridibundus (marsh frog). RNAcentral describes it as "partial 16S ribosomal RNA". It matches the Rfam family "Bacterial large subunit ribosomal RNA", at positions 1926 to 2603 of the family's 2925-position model. Lineage: Eukaryota; Metazoa; Chordata; Amphibia; Anura; Ranidae. The record is from RNAcentral.
AACGGCCGCGGUACCCUAACCGUGCGAAGGUAGCAUAAUCACUUGUUCUUUAAAUAGGGACUCGUAUCAACGGCAUCACGAGGGCUAUACUGUCUCCUUUCUCCAAUCAGUGAAACUGAUCUUCCCGUGAAGAAGCGGGAAUUAUUGUAUAAGACGAGAAGACCCCAUGGAGCUUAAAACUCAAUAUAUACCUCUACGCAUUUAUAUCACUAUAGCCUAAGAAAAUUAUAUAUUAGUUUUGGGUUGGGGGGACCGCGGAGAAAAAAUUAACCUCCACGACAAAUAGGCCAACGCCUUUAUCUAUGAACCACAAUUCUAAGAAUCAAUAAACUGAUGUUUAAUGAUCCAAUUUUUUGAUCAACGAACCAAGUUACCCUGGGGAUAACAGCGCAAUCUACUUCAAGAGCUCCUAUCGACAAGUGGGUUUACGACCUCGAUGUUGGAUCAGGGUAUCCUAGUGGUGCAGCCGCUACUAAAGGUUCGUUUGUUCAACGAUUAAAACCCUACGUGA